Molecule: long non-coding RNA, 1033 nt
Organism: Oncorhynchus tshawytscha (Chinook salmon)
Lineage: Eukaryota; Metazoa; Chordata; Actinopteri; Salmoniformes; Salmonidae
Source: Ensembl
CAACAUUCAACAGUGGGUGGGACUGACUUUUCAAAAGUCUUAACGUGGAUCUUCUGAAAGAGGUGUUUUUAUUGUAUAACUGAAAUGGAUGAGUUUGGUCUAAUACUGAUCUUUUAUUCACUAAUUGGUAUUUUGUCCAAAUCAGAUCUGCUCUGAAUUUAAUCUGAUGUGAAAAGAUCUAAUGUCACCAAUUAGUGGGAAAAAGAUCAUAAUUUGUGUCCAAAUGCAGCAUAGUGGUUCAUUGGAUGAAAAUAAUUCAUACACACUAAAGGUCUUCAUGGUUCCACCCGAAUACCCGGCCGAGACCCGAUCCGGGACCCGAGUGUCCUGUUUGAUUGGUAUCGGGUCUAUGUAACUAACUGAUAGACCUGAGUGGACCCGAAUGGACCCAACAACAGCUCUACAUAGCUUAUAGCACAUGUAUUUUAUGCUAAUAAGGUGAAUGUAUUGACUUAUAGAAGGCCUAGCCAACAUGUAAAGACCUAUUAGUUAACUAGAAGAGCAACUUGGCUGAUAAACAUUACUUAUUUUGUCUUUGGGUCCAUUCGGGUCCUGGUCCCCCUUUAAACAAUAUAUCAGGUAUGAUUGGUGACCUCGGGUCCAGGUCUAACUUUUCAGGGCCAAGAAGACAUCUUCCGAUCCACAAUUUUUAUGCAGGUAAAGUCAUAUGGUAUAAAAAUAAAAUUAAUGACAGUAGUGAUGUUAACAGGUUGUUUCAGGUACACAUUUAUUAACUAAUUAUAAAUACUGGUGGUAUCUUUUUGUGUAAAAUGUAUUAUGAAAACGCCAUUGUCAGCAAAUAUUGAUAUAACCAUCAUAUCUAAAUAAAUGUGGGAGUUGCGCGAUGAUGAUGGUGUGUGGUCCUCCCAUUAUGACUCCCAUUAGGAAACCAUGUAGUUUAUUAGGCUACAGAUUAAAUCAAUUAUGAUCAGGGCCGAUACCAGGGUUUGAGGUUUGAGGUACAGACUUAUGCAUUUCUAUACAAUUUUUUUUUUUUACUUUAAAAUGCUAUUCUGAGAACAGCAAAAAUAAG